CAAUAGCGUAUAUUUAAGUUGUUGCAGUUAAAAAGCUCGUAGUUGGAUUUCGGUUAAGAGCGACCGGUCCGCCGUUUGGUGUGCACUGGUUGGUUUUAACUUCCUGUAGAGGACGUGCUCUGGGUUUAACGACCUGGACUCGGAGUCUGCGUGGUUACUUUGAAAAAAUUAGAGUGUUCAAAGCGGGCUUACGCUUGAAUAUUUCGGCAUGGAAUAACACUAUAGGACUCCUGUCCUAUUUCGUUGGUCUCGGGACGGGAGUAAUGAUUAAGAGGAACAGUUGGGGGCAUUCGUAUUUCAUUGUCAGAGGUGAAAUUCUUGGAUUUAUGAAAGACGAACUUCUGCGAAAGCAUUUGCCAAGGAUGUUUUCAUUAA
RNAcentral lists this ribosomal RNA (375 nucleotides) under uncultured eukaryote. RNAcentral's name for it is "partial 18S ribosomal RNA". It matches the Rfam family "Eukaryotic small subunit ribosomal RNA", at positions 592 to 976 of the family's 1831-position model. The record is from RNAcentral.